Molecule: long non-coding RNA, 400 nt
Filed under: Actinidia chinensis (golden kiwifruit)
Lineage: Eukaryota; Viridiplantae; Streptophyta; Magnoliopsida; Ericales; Actinidiaceae
Description: long non-coding RNA (ACHI_LNC005328)
Source: RNAcentral
CAGUCAGUGGAGGGGCUGAUCGGGUAGGGAAUUUUGACACCGCAUUUACCGGGGAGACCGGAGGCAAGGCCAGGGUUGAUGCCAGGGAUCUGCUGGGCGGCAUUCUUAAUACACUGGCAAGCUUGCUGGCGGUCGGGCUUGGUGCUGGCCAAACUGUUCAGCCCCUUCACGCCACUGCAGCACUUGGGUGGCACCGCCCCCCCGCUCUUCAGGUAUGUCACGCAGGGCGCCAGCUUUGACUGCACCAUCCCACACGUUAUCGCCGCCUCUGCAUACGGCGCCACUGCCACCGCCACCAUGCACAGCACCGCAAUGCAAGCCACCUUGUAACUAACCGCUGCCAUUAUCUUAGUUUCAAAAACACAACCAAAUAUUAAGUCUCAAACACUCUCAAAUGUUU